This 503-nucleotide ribosomal RNA is filed under the name uncultured bacterium. RNAcentral describes it as "partial 16S ribosomal RNA". It matches the Rfam family "Bacterial small subunit ribosomal RNA", at positions 30 to 523 of the family's 1533-position model. The record is from RNAcentral.
AUUGAACGCUGGCGGCAGGCUUAACACAUGCAAGUCGAGCGGGGUGAUGGUGCUUGCACUAUCACUUAGCGGCGGACGGGUGAGUAAUGCUUAGGAAUCUGCCUAUUAGUGGGGGACAACAUCUCGAAAGGGAUGCUAAUACCGCAUACGUCCUACGGGAGAAAGCAGGGGAUCACUUGUGACCUUGCGCUAAUAGAUGAGCCUAAGUCGGAUUAGCUAGUUGGUGGGGUAAAGGCCUACCAAGGCGACGAUCUGUAGCGGGUCUGAGAGGAUGAUCCGCCACCCUGGGACUGAGACACGGCCCAGACUCCUCCGGGAGGCAGCAGUGGGGAAUAUUGGACAAUGGGGGGAACCCUGAUCCAGCCAUGCCGCGUGUGUGAAGAAGGCCUUAUGGUUGUAAAGCACUUUAAGCGAGGAGGAGGCUCUUUUGGUUAAUACCCAAGAUGAGUGGACGUUACUCGCAGAAUAAGCACCGGCUAACUCUGUGCCAGCAGCCGCCGUAA